Molecule: ribosomal RNA, 468 nt
Filed under: uncultured bacterium
Lineage: Bacteria
Description: partial 16S ribosomal RNA
Rfam family: Bacterial small subunit ribosomal RNA
Source: RNAcentral
GACGAACGCUGGCGGCGUGCUUAACACAUGCAAGUCGAACGGAAAGGCCCUGCUUUUGUGGGGUGCUCGAGUGGCGAACGGGUGAGUAACACGUGGGUAACCUGCCCUUGACUUUGGGAUAACUUCAGGAAACUGGGGCUAAUACCGGAUAGGAGCUCCUGCUGCAUGGUGGGGGUUGGAAAGUUUCGGCGGUUGGGGAUGGACUCGCGGCUUAUCAGCUUGUUGGUGGGGUAGUGGCUUACCAAGGCUUUGACGGGUAGCCGGCCUGAGAGGGUGACCGGCCACAUUGGGACUGAGAUACGGCCCAGACUCCUACGGGAGGCAGCAGUGGGGAAUAUUGCACAAUGGGCGGAAGCCUGAUGCAGCAACGCCGCGUGCGGGAUGACGGCCUUCGGGUUAUAAACCGCUUUCGCCUGUGACGAAGCGUGAGUGACGGUAAUGGGUAAAGAAGCACCGGCUAACUACGUG